This 301-nucleotide ribosomal RNA is filed under the name uncultured bacterium. RNAcentral describes it as "partial 16S ribosomal RNA". It matches the Rfam family "Bacterial small subunit ribosomal RNA", at positions 509 to 809 of the family's 1533-position model. The record is from RNAcentral.
CAGUCGCCGCGGUAAUACGUAGGUGGCAAGCGUUGUCCGGAAUUAUUGGGCGUAAAGGGCUCGCAGGCGGUUUAUUAAGUCUGAUGUGAAAGCCCCCGGCUCAACCGGGGAGGGUCAUUGGAAACUGGGAAACUUGAGUGCAGAAGAAGAGAGUGGAAUUCCACGUGUAGCGGUGAAAUGCGUAGAGAUGUGGAGGAACACCAGUGGCGAAGGCGACUCCCUGGUCUGUAACUGACGCUGAGGAGCGAAAGCGUGGGGAGCGAACAGGAUUAGAUACCCCGGUAGUCCCUGUCUCUUAUAA